RNAcentral lists this ribosomal RNA (253 nucleotides) under uncultured bacterium. RNAcentral describes it as "partial 16S ribosomal RNA". It matches the Rfam family "Bacterial small subunit ribosomal RNA", at positions 524 to 776 of the family's 1533-position model. The record is from RNAcentral.
UACGAAGGGGGCUAGCGUUGUUCGGAAUUACUGGGCGUAAAGCGCACGUAGGCGGAUAUUUAAGUCAGGGGUGAAAUCCCGGGGCUCAACCCCGGAACUGCCUUUGAUACUGGGUAUCUAGAGUCCAGAAGAGGUGAGUGGAAUUCCGAGUGUAGAGGUGAAAUUCGUAGAUAUUCGGAGGAACACCAGUGGCGAAGGCGGCUACCUGGCCUGUUCUUGACGCUGAGGCGCGAAAGCUAGGGGAGCAAACGGG